RNAcentral lists this long non-coding RNA (2371 nucleotides) under Gossypium barbadense (sea-island cotton). RNAcentral's name for it is "long non-coding RNA (GBAR_LNC018464)". Lineage: Eukaryota; Viridiplantae; Streptophyta; Magnoliopsida; Malvales; Malvaceae. The record is from RNAcentral.
ACCAAUUAAAGAGUCUAUAAUGUCCAAUUACAACCAGACAAUUAUAACUAAGUCUAAUUUUAAAUACCAUAAUUUGGUCUCACAUUGCCUUCCUCAUUGAGUUUGGGAACACAACAACAUAUCCAGGAAUAGCCUCGAUUUGGGUCACUUGGAUGGCUCACUUCCCCACCUCUUCACAAGUUAAAUCACUGGUAUAUUAUAAAAGUGUCUGUGAGCUUAUUGAAGCUCAGUGAGUUGCUCAAACAUACUAUAAAUAAACACAUCAGUUAGUUUAAAGGGUGACAUACUAUAGCGAUCCACAUAUUAUUAUAGUUUACACAAAAUAGUAACUCACACAAUAGAACAAUUCUCAUAAAAUUAGCAAUGCACAUAUAAUAAGUUAUUUGCAUAAAAUAGGAAGAUCACAUAAACUAUCAAUUCGCAUCAAACAUCUGUUCAUAUAAAAUAACAAUUCAUACACCAAAUGACAGCUCAUGCAAAAUGAUAGUUUAUAUGAAAUAUCAGUUCAUACCGAAUAACAAUUCAUGCAAAAUAACAGUUCAUACUCUAUCAUAACUCAUAUAUUUCAAAUAAUAAUAAAUUGACAUUUUUGUGAUUAUGAAACAUAUAGGGGACUCAAUCACCACACAUUGGACAAACGAAUCUCCUUAUAACGCCUCACUUUUAGACUCAAAGAGCCCUACGCUGUCUCUAAUAUAAGUGUAGCACAAACGCUCACACUCUCCAACACUCUCGACUCAUAGAGCCCUAUGCUGUCUACGUUGAAUGGAGCUAUGUUCGACAUUCCCUUAUCUCUCCAACGCUAUCUUUGGGCACAAUGCUCACCGCAAUAAUAAGGGUGAGUACUCACAAUCCUAUGGCAUGCCAACUAUAUCUAAUGGUUCCAUAAGGUCAUAAUGCCAACAUAUCUCUUUAACACAUUCACAAUAUUCAGUAUAAUAGGGCUCGCAAAUAAGUAGAGCUCACACAUUAUAACACAUCUUGCAAUUUACAAUUCGCAAUAAAGCAUGGUUUGCAAAUAAUAUAACAACUUUCAUGCAACAUAUAAUGCACACAUAACACAGUUCGCAUAUCAUUCAUGACAUAGAUUACAUAAAUCAUUGUUCGCAUAUUUUAUUUAGCAUAGGGCACACAAUAGCUUAGCUUACAUACAAUACAACUCAAAAUAUCACAAUACACAAUUUGGCAAAUUAAUAUCGUUCGCCAUAUUAAUACAAAUCACCAAAUUAACACAGUUCGCCAUAAUAAUAUAAUUCGCCAAGUUAACAUGGUUCACAAUAUAACACAGUACACAAAUAUAAUUGACUCGCACUACAAUUGAACUCGCACCUAGCAUUUCACGAUAAUAUAAUUCUGCACUAAUCUAAGUUUGCAUUACCGUAGAGCUCAUAAUCCACAUACUGAUUCGUGCAUGCAUAGAUAUACACAUUAUCAAUAAAAUUUACAUAUUAAAAGAGGUCCCAUUAUAUUUUUUUAUAUUAAUUCGCAAACAUUACAAAACUCAUCCAUAUAUAUAUUAUAAAACAAGACCCAUAUAUAUAUUAUAUAACAAAACUCACUCAUAUAUUAUAGAUAACAAAACCCAUGCAUAUAUAUAAUAUAUAACAAAACCCAUACAUAUAUAUUAUACAUAACAAACCCAAGCAUGUAUAUAUAUUAUAUAUAAUAAAGUCACGCCUAUAUAUUCAUAAACGUAUAUAUUAUUAAAUCCCUAGACGCAUAUAUAUAGAGUAUAUCUAAAAGAACAAUAGACACAUAUAUGUUAUAUAUAGCAGGACCCACGCAUAUAUAGUUGUUAUGUAUAUGGCAGGACCCACAUACAACAAAUAUACGUACCUAUUUAAAACCCCUCUCUAUCACGUCAAAAUUACAUAUAUAUAUAUAUAUAUAAAAUAAAAUCCUAAAUGCAACCGUAGACGCUUAUAUAUAUAACAAGACCAUAAACAUAUUUAUAUUAUAUAUAUACCUAUUUAUGAGUACAAUCGCUCAUGUAACUGCUCACACCUACUAAUAUACACACAAUUUCACUUAUUUGUUACGUUAAAUUUCAUAGUUUACAAUUACAACUUAUUUAUUUUAUUCCUAUAAUUACAUGCACAUUUUAAAUUCAUGCAUUUGACUCGUUAAAAUCACACAGCAUGCAUACUCUACACUCAAACAAAAUUAUAAUAAUUUGCACCAAGAGAAAUAAAGGUACACAUAUUAAUUAAGAAGGGUUCACAUAUGUUACUUUAGCAUGCGUACUUGAAUUUAAAUGCAGUAUAUCGGACCACUCACCUUAACAACCAUUGCUUCAACUACCAAGCUCAAGUAAGCUUUUAUUUACCUUUGUCCAUGGUUGUGGAGGCUCCCAAAUGAAUUGGCAUUUUUC